UACGAAGGGGGCUAGCGUUGCUCGGAAUCACUGGGCGUAAAGGGUGCGUAGGCGGGUCUUUAAGUCAGGGGUGAAAUCCUGGAGCUCAACUCCAGAACUGCCUUUGAUACCGAAGAUCUUGAGUUCGGGAGAGGUGAGUGGAACUGCGAGUGUAGAGGUGAAAUUCGUAGAUAUUCGCAAGAACACCAGUGGCGAAGGCGGCUCACUGGCCCGAUACUGACGCUGAGGCACGAAAGCGUGGGGAGCGAACAGG
Molecule: ribosomal RNA, 253 nt
Filed under: uncultured bacterium
Lineage: Bacteria
Description: partial 16S ribosomal RNA
Rfam family: Bacterial small subunit ribosomal RNA
Source: RNAcentral